GGGGAUAUAGCUCAGUUGGUAGAGUGCUUGCCUCACAUGUACAAGGCCCUGGGUUCAAUCCCCAAUAUCACAC
RNAcentral lists this transfer RNA (73 nucleotides) under Ictidomys tridecemlineatus (thirteen-lined ground squirrel). RNAcentral describes it as "Spermophilus tridecemlineatus (thirteen-lined ground squirrel) tRNA". It matches the Rfam family "tRNA". From Rfam's summary of the family: Transfer RNA (tRNA) molecules are approximately 80 nucleotides in length. Their secondary structure includes four short double-helical elements and three loops (D, anti-codon, and T loops). Lineage: Eukaryota; Metazoa; Chordata; Mammalia; Rodentia; Sciuridae. The record is from Rfam by way of RNAcentral.